CGAGUCGGCCGGGCGGCCGCGUACGGACCCGCUCUUCGGAGUGGUGAUCCGUCCGAGGAACGUCCGGACUCCACAGGGCAGGAUGCUGGGUAACGCCCAGUCGGGGUGACCCGCAGGAAAGUGCAACAGAGAGCAGACCGCCGAUGGCGGCUGGGCCGACCUGCAGAGGUCUGUCCGCCGCACAGGUAAGGGUGAAACGGUGCGGUAAGAGCGCACCAGCAUCCGGGGCGACCCGGAUGGCUCGGUAAACCCCAUCCGGAGCAAGGCCGAGCAGGGGGAGGGUGGUCCCGCCCGUCAGACCCCGGGUAGGCCGCUGGAGCCGGCGGGUAACCGCCGGCCGAGAUGGAUGGCCGCCAACGGACCGCAAGGUCCCGAACAGAAUCCGGCGUACAGGCCGACUCGCCAC
RNAcentral lists this RNase P RNA (406 nucleotides) under Actinomycetota bacterium. RNAcentral describes it as "RNase P RNA component class A". It matches the Rfam family "Bacterial RNase P class A". Rfam says of the family: Ribonuclease P (RNase P) is a ubiquitous endoribonuclease, found in archaea, bacteria and eukarya as well as chloroplasts and mitochondria. Its best characterised activity is the generation of mature 5'-ends of tRNAs by cleaving the 5'-leader elements of precursor-tRNAs. Lineage: Bacteria; Bacillati; Actinomycetota. The record is from RNAcentral.